This is a long non-coding RNA of Pezoporus occidentalis (night parrot), 853 nucleotides long. RefSeq lists it as uncharacterized. The record is from RefSeq and is a predicted model, not a curated record. The transcript has 6 exons. NCBI's taxonomy places the organism in Eukaryota, Metazoa, Chordata, Aves, Psittaciformes, Psittacidae.
AUAUGUAAUACUAUGUUCUUGAGAAUACUUCAUGCGUGUCUGUCCUCAAUCAGCAGAGGCAUGCUUUAAAGAAUUGGCCCAUGACCAUGGAAAGAAGACUGCUGGGAUGGCACUAGUUGGAAUCACUCCAGAGCACUAUCAGUCUACAGAACAGUGCUCUUAACAGUGACUGAGGCAGUGAACAGAACUGAAAUAUUAUGUGUAUGUUUUUUCCUACAGUGAGCUUUCUUCUUCAAACAUUCAGCAGACCAAAUAAACACCAAGAGGAACUCUGGAACUCAUCCUUGUCACAGCCAUGUAACAAAACUGCCCAACAUAUCUCAAUGUCCAGCAAAAUUAGUGUACCCCACAGCAGAAUCAUCAGAAUUUGUUGAUCAUACAUGCGCUGACCCAGUGUGAUGAUGUACCUCAUCCAGUACACUCUAAUUCCUUGCUGCUUCACAACAGUUGAUUUUACCUGUUUUAAUACUGUUUCCGCACCACAGAUGUUUAAAUCUCAUCCAUGCAUCAUGCAUUGUGAGGGAAUUUGUUGCUGUAGACCUGAUUGCAAUGUUACAGUAGUGCAACUCAACUGACUUCUGCCUUGCAGCUACCCCCCAGUGCCAGCUGAAACACACUGAAACAGUUUCUCCAAAUUGAAACAAUCAACAGCUCUGGCGUGUUGGAUAGUAGGAGGAAUGAACUCUGAAAUAACUGGUGUUGCCACAGGUACAAGUUAUGACUGGUCUGGGCAGGCAUUUGGUCGUGUGAACUGCACUCAGCUGUAUUUUUAUUGGCCUAAAAACAGUCUUCUAAUGCUGGCAGUCUAGAGGUUUGCUCCUUUAAGUGCCUGCUGUGAAGAAACUUAUCCAAA